Equus caballus (horse) is the source of this 364-nucleotide non-coding RNA. The record is from RefSeq and is a predicted model, not a curated record. NCBI's taxonomy places the organism in Eukaryota, Metazoa, Chordata, Mammalia, Perissodactyla, Equidae.
GGUUUCUAUCUCUGAGAAGAGGAGAUAAAGUCAUUGAUUGUCAAAGAGAAGACCAUUUGGACUGAUUCCCCUCUACAGAGACAGCUGCUCCAUUUUCUCUUCAUUUCUGCAUAAGGGCAUUUUAAUCUGGGAGGUGAUAUCCUCACUCUGUCAAUUGGCUAUUGCUGGUUUUUCAGGGUGACGAUUUGUCUGGGAUCUCAAUUCUCUGGUGGAUCUAAGAAGAGCUGUAGAUUUUCUGUUCACUGAGUUUUUACUUGUGGCGAGGACAGAAGUGAUGACCCCCAAGCUCUUUACAAGUGACAGAAGAAACCGCCUCUCCUUCACUUUUAAAUCAGCUCUGGUAGACUUUCUUGGGCCUACAUUC